RNAcentral lists this unclassified non-coding RNA (357 nucleotides) under Hymenochaetales sp. Its description in RNAcentral is "partial contains 5.8S ribosomal RNA, internal transcribed spacer 2, and large subunit ribosomal RNA". The stretch from base 1 to 71 matches the Rfam family "5.8S ribosomal RNA", at positions 84 to 154 of the family's 154-position model. Lineage: Eukaryota; Fungi; Basidiomycota; Agaricomycetes; Hymenochaetales. The record is from RNAcentral.
GUGAAUCAUCGAAUCUUUGAACGCAACUUGCGCCCCUUGGUAUUCCGAGGGGCAUGUCUGUCUGAGCGUCGUCUUAACUCUCAACCUCCUCUCUUGUUUCCUCGUGGCCGAGGUGGGGCUGGUUGGAUCGUGAGUGCUGCCGGGGCUUCGGUCCGGGCUCGCUCGAAAUGCAUCGGUGGUGACUUUGGCUGGCUUUCCCGAAAGCUCCGAAGACCCGGCGUGAUAGAGAUGUUUCGUCGAGGGACUCGGGUGACUAGGGGCCCUGCGCCUGGCCGCCUUGCCUUUGAUUGUCUAUCCUUUUGACCUCAGAUCAGGCAGGACUACCCGCUGAACUUAAGCAUAUCAAUAAGCGGAGGA